CGAUCAUUAGUUGGAUGAAUGGAUGUUUUAUCGAGUCUAGGGCCUCAUCAACCCUGUGGACAUAGCUAGAAAGUUGCUUCGGCGGGAACAGACGGCCCCGUGAAACGGGCCGCCCCCGCCAGAGGACCCCCUAACUCUGUUGCUAUAUGUAUCUUCUGAGUAAACAAGCAAAUAAAUUAAAACUUUCAACAACGGAUCUCUUGGCUCUGGCAUCGAUGAAGAACGCAGCGAAAUGCGAUAAGUAAUGUGAAUUGCAGAAUUCAGUGAAUCAUCGAAUCUUUGAACGCACAUUGCGCCCGCCAGUAUUCUGGCGGGCAUGCCUGUUCGAGCGUCAUUACAACCCUCAGGCCCCCGGGCCUGGCGUUGGGGAUCGGCGAGGCGCCCCCCUGCGGGCACGCGCCGUCCCCCAAAUACAGUGGCGGUCCCGCCGCAGCUUCCAUUGCGUAGUAGCUAACACCUCGCAACUGGAGAGCGGCGCGGCCAUGCCGUAAAACACCCAACUUCUGAAUGUUGACCUCGAAUCAGGUAGGAAUACCCGCUGAACUUAAGCAUAUCAACUGGAAGUAGAAGUCGUAACAAGGCAUAACCAUUAGCGGAAGAUGUGGAAGGACAAGUCCUUACCAGGGCCGUGCAUACACCAAAGGAAUUUGGAAGUGAAAAUCCGAUCCAAGGACCUGCCUCC
RNAcentral lists this ribosomal RNA (682 nucleotides) under Fusarium sp. Zemp. RNAcentral's name for it is "eukaryotic LSU rRNA". The stretch from base 181 to 334 matches the Rfam family "5.8S ribosomal RNA". The record is from RNAcentral. Lineage: Eukaryota; Fungi; Ascomycota; Sordariomycetes; Hypocreales; Nectriaceae.